UAAUUUAUAAAUUUUUGUUUAUUAUUUUGUUGGUUUAUUUGCCUUUUGCAUCAUGCUUAAUGGAAUUAUUAGUAUAAUCUAUAAACCGAAAAGUUUAGAUUUUAUUUUGGGCUGUUUGGAACUAAAUUUAGUUGGGUAAAUUUUUUUGAGACCUGAAGUAUGAUGUGAUAAAUUAGUCGUUAAGCUUUAUAACUGUUUUACUGCUUUUAUUUCGUUUUAGGCUUAAGGUUAAGAAAUCUUAUGCUAGUCUAUACUGAUUUUAACUUUUAUGUUAUAAAAGGGUUAAAAAUACCUAUUUAUUGAAAGUUUGUUAUAAUUUUAUAAAAUUAGUUUUGUUGGUUAGAUUUAUAGGCAGUAUAAAUUAAUUUUUAGUUUGUAAAUAUUAUUUAAAUGAGUAAUUAUAAUAUGGAAUUUAUUUCUCGAGUUUUGCCCGUCUGUUUAUUAAAAACAUUUCCAAUUUUUAUUAUAAUUGGUAUUACCUGCUCUAUGCUUUUGUAAAUGGCCGCAGUAUAUUGACUGUGCGAAGGUAGCAUAAUUAAUUGCCUUAUAAUUGAAGGCUUGUUUGAAUGGUUUGACGAGGUAACAAUAAAUAUAUUCUAUUUUUUUGAAAUUGUUUUUGAGGGCACAGAAUCCUCAAUAUUUAAUUAGACGGAAAGACCCCGGGAUCUUUUUAUUUUGCCUGGGGCAGGUUUUAAUAUUUUAUUAAGAUUGAGACCCUUUUGGUUUAUUGAGUUAAGUUACCCCGGGGAUAACAGUGUAAUAGUUAAUAAGAGAUCUUAUCGAAUUAACUGUUUGCCACCUCGAUGUUGACUUAGGUGAAAAUAUGGGCGCAGUAGUUUAUUAUUUUGGUCUGUUCGACCUUAAUCACCUCCAUGAGUUGAGUUAAGACCGGCGUAAGCCAGGUCGGUUCUUAUCUAUU
Molecule: ribosomal RNA, 919 nt
Filed under: Fimbriaria sp. DTJL-2008
Lineage: Eukaryota; Metazoa; Platyhelminthes; Cestoda; Cyclophyllidea; Hymenolepididae
Description: partial 16S ribosomal RNA
Rfam family: Bacterial large subunit ribosomal RNA (bases 618-919)
Source: RNAcentral